GACGAACGCUGGCGGCGUGCUUAACACAUGCAAGUCGAACGGAAAGGCCCUGCUUUGUUGGGGUGCUCGAGUUGCGAACUGGUGAGUAACACGUGGGUAACCUGUCCUUGACUUUGGGAGAACUUCAUGAAACUGGGUCUAAUCCCGGAUAGGAGUUCCUGCUGCAUGGUGGGGGUUGGAAAGUUUCGGCGGUUGGUGGUGGAAUCGCGUCCUAUCAGCUUGUUGGUGGGGUAGUGUCUUACCAAGGCUUUGACGGGUAGCCUGGCUGAGCGGGUCACAGGACACAUUGGGAUUGGAAUACGACACAGCCCAGUACGGGACGGGAGAGUGGAGUAGAGUGCAUAGUGGGAGGAGGCAUGGUGGAGUAAAGCAGCGUGGGGGAAGACGGCAUUGGGGUUGUAAACCGAUUUCGCCUGUCACGAAGCGUGAGUGACGGUAACGGGUGAAGAAGCACCGGCUAACUACGUG
RNAcentral lists this ribosomal RNA (468 nucleotides) under uncultured bacterium. Its description in RNAcentral is "partial 16S ribosomal RNA". It matches the Rfam family "Bacterial small subunit ribosomal RNA", at positions 28 to 507 of the family's 1533-position model. The record is from RNAcentral.